This 93-nucleotide ribosomal RNA is filed under the name uncultured bacterium. Its description in RNAcentral is "partial 16S ribosomal RNA". The record is from RNAcentral.
CCCGUCACACCACGAAAGCUGCGUGUACCAGAAGUCGCUGAGCUGACCCAGCUUGGGGGGCAGACGCCGAAGGUAUGCCUGGUGAUUGGGGUG